CUACGGGGCGCUCCAGUGGGGAAUAUUGGGCAAUGGGCGCAAGCCUGACCCAGCAACGCCGCGUGAGGGAAGAAGGUUUUCGGAUUGUAAACCUCUGUCCUUGGGGACGAAGAAGUGACGGUACCCAAGGAGGAAGCUCCGGCUAACUACGUGCCAGCAGCCGCGGUAAUACGUAGGGAGCGAGCGUUGUCCGGAAUUACUGGGCGUAAAGGGUGCGUAGGCGGCAUAUUAAGUCAGGUGUGAAAUACUCGGGCUCAACCCGAGGGCUGCACUUGAAACUGGUAAGCUUGAGUGUGAGAGAGGAAAGUGGAAUUCCUAGUGUAGCGGUGAAAUGCGUAGAUAUUAGGAGGAACACCAGUGGCGAAGGCGACUUUCUGGCUCAUAACUGACGCUGAGGCACGAAAGCGUGGGGAGCAAACAGGAUUAGAUACCCCUGUAGUC
Molecule: ribosomal RNA, 441 nt
Filed under: uncultured bacterium
Lineage: Bacteria
Description: partial 16S ribosomal RNA
Rfam family: Bacterial small subunit ribosomal RNA
Source: RNAcentral